UUCAACUCAAGAAGAUAAGUCUUUGUGACUUCAGGUCCAGUGGGACACCUAGCUGUCCAGGAAACAAUUUUAACUUAUUAAAAAUUGAGAGAUUAACCAAUGGAAAAGAUUAGCCACACAAUAUAUGGAAACAAAUAAAUAAAAGUGUUUAAUACAUUCAGCAGGUGGUGUGGGAUGGGGUAGAAGCAGGGAAAGACCCACUAUUUAAUUAAAAAAAAAACAGAACAGGUAAGGGAAAAGAAGCUUGCCAGAAAUUUGAUAGGAUAUCAACACCAUACAGCACCGAUUAAAUUUAAAUAAAAAGAGAUUUAAAAAAGUAGAUGUAAAAGGGGAAUCAAUAUCAAAUUAGAGGAGUAAAGAGGAAAUUAAUUUUCCCAUCUAUCGAUAGGGGGAGAGAUCAUAACAGAACAAGCAAUGGAGAGGAUCACAGAAAAUAAAUGAAUAAUUCUGCUUCUAUAAAGUUAAAAUCUUUUUGCAUGAACAGAACAAAUGAAGUUAAAAUAAGAAGGGUGACAGUUAAGGAAGGAAAAACAUCUUUGCAGUAAAGUUCUCUGAGGACUGUUGCAUGUGCAAGAUAAAGUAGGAACCAAUUACAAUUUCCAAAAUGAAGAACCAUUCUCUAAUAAAUCCAGGGAUAUGAACAGUAAGUUUUCAAAGGAAAUAAUCCAAGCUAUUCAUAGUCCUACGACAAGAUGCUCCAAAUCCCUCAUAACAAGAGACAUGCACAUUAAAACAACUCUCUUCUUUCAGUCUGUAAAUCAUAGAGAUCUGCAGGUUCGGGGACAGUCACCUCUUUGUGUUCUAUAACAAGGUACAUGGAAAUGCCCUUUUCACCAGGUGCUGGUUGAAACCAGAAUAAAAAAAUAAAUAUACAAUCAAAUUAAAUGACACUAAAUGAAAGACAUGAUAUGGAAAAAGGGAGGGGAAGAGUUCCUAAUGUCUCAGGUAUUUGUGACCCCAGCUGUAGCAAAUGGCUUGGACACCACAGGGCUGGCACCUUACUGGAGGAGAAGCAGCAAAAACCCUGCGGGGGGGGGGAAGACAGAUAAAAACCUGCAAAUGGGAUUGAUAUACCCCAGGUUUUACAGUUUAGUCAGGAAUUUAUUUUUUAAAAGCCCCAGUUUUUAAUUCAAGUGGUCCACAUUACUUGGUAAAAAAAAAAUAAUUCUGGCCAAGUUCAAGGAAAGAAACUUCUCAAGAUGCUGAAGCUACCACCCCCCCACACACACAAAGGGAGAGAGCCUGAUUGUAUAUCUCUGUAUUCUGGGCCCAAAACCUGCAUUAUUUAACUGAUUGGCCAAAACUGACCCAAGAUAACCCUCAAUAUCAUUAGCCAACUUGAGGUGCUUUACACUGGGGUAAAAUAAAUUACCUUAACAAAUAUUUUGAUGAAGCUGGCAAGAAAAUUAAAUACCCAGAGUGGAAUGCUUUUAGUAAAUUACUACUCUAAACCACUAAAUAGAAACCUCUUGUUACAUGGAUUCUUUUAAAGAAACCUUAAAUGGAAUGAAAUAGAAUGGGGAAAGGGUAGAAGAGAAGAUUUGUGUCCUUCAGAAUGACAGUCAGAAUGGUAUUGCUUAAUUAAAACAGUAAAAGAGGGAUUUGCCUGUUUGUAGGACCAAGUCACCUGUGGCAGCAAAGAUUUAUCCACCCAUCCCUGAGAAAAAUUCACCCCCUUGGCUCCGAGGAUGAGGAAGGGAAGGGGGAGGCUCAUCCUAGACUGUCUCCUUUCUUCCCAGCCCCAAGGUCAAGCCAAGGAUGAGAGGAAUGAAGGAUGGAAGGAUGGAAAUUUCCACCUGAGUAGGGGUGGGAGGGAGUGUUUUCAAGGCUUUUUGCUGCUCACCUCUAUGCCACCCCACCCCGAAGCCCUAGACUUCCAGACAAAGGCCUGGGCAGGCAGGAAGCCCCAGGCAAGAAUCAGCCCAGGAGGAGCAGGCACACAGAGGUACAUACAUAUACACACACAUGCACUAUCCUACUUACACUCACAACACAUGCAUAAACAAAGGUACUAAUACUUCCACGACCCCGCCAUCCAUGCCCAAACACAUCUCUGUGGGCACUAAAACAAGCCAAUUUGUGGUGGGGGGAGGUUCAGGAGCAGGUUGAAGAGGUGCCAGAAGAGAAUAUAAGGAGGGGGGAUGCAGAGGGGCUGCAGGAGAGGCAGUGGAAGGAGGAGGGGAGAGGCUUAACUCAUGCACAGGAAAAUGCAGGAACUUAUGGGAUCCUUGAGCAGGAAAGGGGAGGGGAAGAGGAAAGGGUUAUGGGCAGGCAGAUCUCCAGCUGCUCAUGACACCCUGCUAUACAGAUUCAUGGAAAAAGGCAACUUAUUCCUCCUUCUCCUCCUCCUCCUCUUCCUCCAGAGACAAAGAUGACUAACCUUGUUCGAGGAUGGAAGGGCAGGUCCUUACUUCAAGACACCACAUGGUUCCAAAGGAUCAUAGACUUUCAAUCUCCACCUCAGAUCACCCUCAGCAUCUACUGAGUUGAAUCCCUUAUGCUACAGAGCAAAAUGAAACCCAGGAAGAGAAAAAAAAAACCUGAAACUCAGAGUGGUGAUGAGAGCUGUCUGAUGUCACACAACUAGUAAGGUUCUGAGGGCAGCCGGUCGGCUGGAGCGGGGAACACCUCUGAUGGGGAGGAAGCUGCAGACAGCCCCAGGGGCUUCACUGCAGGCUUUCAAGUCAGAUCACUGGCUACCAGGAUGAACUUCUUGCUUGGGAGUUGCCUUGAGGGAAAGUAUUGGAC
Phascolarctos cinereus (koala) is the source of this 2748-nucleotide non-coding RNA. The record is from RefSeq and is a predicted model, not a curated record. Lineage: Eukaryota; Metazoa; Chordata; Mammalia; Diprotodontia; Phascolarctidae.